AUCUAUGGCCAUACCACCCUAAUUUUGAAAGCUUAGCAGGAUCAGGCCUGGCCAUUACUUGGAUGGGAGACUGCCUCACACACCAGGUGCUGUAGGCU
Cercocebus atys (sooty mangabey) is the source of this 98-nucleotide ribosomal RNA. NCBI's taxonomy places the organism in Eukaryota, Metazoa, Chordata, Mammalia, Primates, Cercopithecidae. The record is from Ensembl.